RNAcentral lists this ribosomal RNA (381 nucleotides) under uncultured eukaryote. RNAcentral's name for it is "SSU rRNA". It matches the Rfam family "Eukaryotic small subunit ribosomal RNA", at positions 587 to 972 of the family's 1831-position model. The record is from RNAcentral. RNAcentral also lists the same sequence under 1 other name.
AGCUCCAAUAGCGUAUAUUAAAGUUGUUGCAGUUAAAAAGCUCGUAGUUGGAUUUGUGGUGUACUUCGGCGGCCCGUCACUAUGUGAUGGAGCUUGCUGAAGUCGCCAUCCUUGGGUGGAUCCUGUGUGGCAUUAAGUUGUCGUGCAGGGGAUGCCCAUCGUUUACUGUGAAAAAAUUAGAGUGUUCAAAGCAGGCUUAUGCCGUUGAAUAUAUUAGCAUGGAAUAAUAAGAUAGGACCUUGGUACUAUUUUGUUGGUUUGCGCACCAAGGUAAUGAUUAAUAGGGACAGUUGGGGGUAUUCGUAUUUCAUUGUCAGAGGUGAAAUUCUUGGAUUUUUGAAAGACGAACUACUGCGAAAGCAUUUACCAAGGAUGUUUUCA